This 72-nucleotide transfer RNA is filed under the name Ovis aries (sheep). It matches the Rfam family "tRNA". Rfam says of the family: Transfer RNA (tRNA) molecules are approximately 80 nucleotides in length. Their secondary structure includes four short double-helical elements and three loops (D, anti-codon, and T loops). The record is from Rfam by way of RNAcentral. Lineage: Eukaryota; Metazoa; Chordata; Mammalia; Artiodactyla; Bovidae.
UCGCUGGUGGCUCAGAUGGUAAAGCGUCUGCCUCCAACGCAGGAGACCUGGGUUUGAUUCCUGGUUUGGGAA